Molecule: non-coding RNA, 2423 nt
Organism: Grammomys surdaster
Lineage: Eukaryota; Metazoa; Chordata; Mammalia; Rodentia; Muridae
Source: the annotation of a RefSeq genome assembly
GUUUGGGGAUUAGUGUGUAAGAGGGUAGUUGGGUUGUCUUGUCUUGUCUUGUCUUGUCUUGUCUUGUCUUGUCUUGUCUUGUCUUGUCUUGUCUUGUCUUGUCUUGUCUUGUCUUGUCUUGCUGCACCUAGCCUUACACAGUUCACAGAGCACAAAAUAUGCUGUGGGUUCUGGCCCUACUUCUAGUUUUUUUGCCUGCUGGCAGACAAACAUCCUCCAAUUUGGAAGAAAGAAUAAUGUCAAUCACCAGGCCAGUGGGGUCCUCUGUUAUAAUCACUUGUGAUAUUCACAGAACAGGCAAUUACAUCCACUGGUACCGAUUCCAGAAAGGGAAAGUCCCACAGCACCUUCUCUACUACAACUUCAUCAGUUCCACAGCUUUGGUGGAUUCCAGGCUCGAUGCAAAGAAAUAUCAUGUUUAUGAAGGCACAGAGAAGAGUUAUAAAUUUGUACUACGGUUCAUUGUUGCUUUUCCUUGUGUCAAGGACUCAUCAUUUGUUGGUUUAUUUGAGACCUGUUUGGGGGAGUAGCAAGAAAUUUGCAAGGGCUGAACAUACAGCAAAUCAUGGAAGAUUAGACAUGGAAAAAGCAUAGCAGGUAUGUCUCCAGAGCUCAGAACAGCUUCUCUGCAGUGAGCAACAGAAGUGGGAAAGGAGGAGGAGGCUGCACUCAUGCUGCCACACCCCGAGAACAGCAACAACUUAGGCACUGAUCUGACCAGGCUGUGUUGGCCAGGAAACCCAGAACCGCUCAUAACUACAACAGACCAUGAAGAACCCUGGCUUACAAGCUCUGCUUCCUUUACAUCUUCCCUGGGAAGCCCGUCUGGCAGAUGGGAAUCCACUCCUGAAAGUGGUCAUUUUCUCCUGUCUCUUGACAGUUGGACAUGGGAAGUUGGAGCAACCUGAAAUAUCAAUAUCCAGAGCAAGAGAUGAGACUGUCCAAAUAUCCUGUAAGGUUUUCAUCGAAAGCUUUAAAAGUGUAACCAUACACUGGUACCGGCAGAAACCAAACCAAGGUUUAGAGUUUCUGUUAUAUGUCCUCGCAAACCCUACCCAUAUUUUCUUAGAUAAGGAGUACAAGAAAAUGGAGGCAAGCAAAAAUUCUAGUGCUUCUACAUCGACAUUAACAAUAUAUUCCCUGGAAGAAGAAGACGAAGCUAUCUACUACUGUUCCUACGGCGAUAGCUCGGGCUGGAGCAAGGUAUUUGCAGAAGGAACUAAACUCAUAGUAAUUCCCUCUGACAAAAACUUUGAGGCAGACAUUUCCCCCAAGCCCACCAUUUUUCUUCCUUCUGCUGCUGAAACAAAUCUUCAUAAUUCUGGGACAUACCUUUGUCUCCUUGAAAAGUUCUUCCCUGAUGUCAUUAGGGUGUACUGGAAAGAAAAGGAUGGUGAUACUAUCCUGGACUCCCAGGAAGGGGAUACGCUGAAGACUAAUGACACAUAUAUGAAGUUUAGCUGGCUUACUGUGCCUGAAAGGUCAAUGGAUAAAGAUCAUAGAUGUAUCAUCAAACAUGAAAAAAACAAAGGAGGAGUGGAUCAAGAGAUUUUCUUUCCUUCAAUAAAGAAAGUUGCUGUGAGUACCAAGCCUACAACUUGCUGGCAAGAUGAAAAUGAUAUGCUGCAGCUCCAGUUCACAAGCACCUCUGCUUACUACACCUACCUCCUUCUGCUCCUCAAGAAUGCGAUCUACUUGGCCAUCAUCAGCUUCUUCCUGCUUAGAAGAACAGCUGUCUGUGGCAAUAAGAAAAGGUCCUAAGGAAAUGAAUAUGUUUGACUGUAUUCUAGACUGGCCUCAAACUCUGUGUUGGAAGAUGACCUUGACUGUCUGGUUUUCUUGUUUCUUGCCCCAAGUCCUGAAAUUCUGGCCAUGAACCACCUGAUUUGAUUUGAUGCUGACCAAGAACCCAGGGAUGCCUGCAUGCUAGGUACACUGAGCUAUAGCACUAGGCCUGUUGUUGAAGUCUCACACUGCCACCGAAGCUAGCCUACUGCUCCCUGUAUAGCUCCCUGUAUAGGGUGGUACAACAAGCCACCUGGUUUUCAUCCAUACUGUCAUAAAUGUACCUUAUGGGAGUCUAGCUGCCUUCUCUUGUUGGCUUUGACUUCUGUAAAGUCACAUGCAUAUCAUCCUGUUAUUGCAUAAACAUAUUUUGAACUUUUGUAAGCAAUUUCAGCAACUUCUCUAUAACUGGGCUCACUUCCUUCCUGAUUCCAUCCUCUCCAGCAGUCCUCUUGCCCAGAAGUCUGAAGCAUCAAAGCUCUAGUACACACAGGCUACAGCUUUUACCCAUAGCCCUUGUUGAUUUUGAGCUAACUUUCUGAAAGCCUACACUCUAGACAACCUGAAGAGCCUUACCUACUGUUUGAUUCUGUGCCUUGUAUUUCAUAUUAGGGACAAUAAAUUUUUUAAAAUUAGAA